This is a small nucleolar RNA of Bos grunniens (domestic yak), 110 nucleotides long. Its record names the gene U3. It matches the Rfam family "Small nucleolar RNA U3". Rfam says of the family: Small nucleolar RNAs (snoRNAs) are involved in the processing and modification of rRNA in the nucleolus. There are two main classes of snoRNAs: the box C/D class, and the box H/ACA class. NCBI's taxonomy places the organism in Eukaryota, Metazoa, Chordata, Mammalia, Artiodactyla, Bovidae. The record is from Ensembl.
AAGACUAUACUUUCAGGGAUCAUUUCUGUAGUUCAUAUUGCAAAAGAUGAAAUAAAAACCAGAUGCAAACAAGCAGAGGAUUCAAGACUGGGUCAUGCAGAAGGCUUGUU